Long non-coding RNA from Melanotaenia boesemani (Boeseman's rainbowfish), 211 nucleotides. RefSeq lists it as uncharacterized. The transcript has 4 exons. Lineage: Eukaryota; Metazoa; Chordata; Actinopteri; Atheriniformes; Melanotaeniidae. The record is from RefSeq and is a predicted model, not a curated record.
UUCAUGUGGUAUAUGUGUCCCAAAUUUUGAUUAUGAAUUAAUAACAUAAUAUAUGACCAAAAGUAAGUCACUCAUUAGUUUCUCAUUUCUUUUCUGGUAGUUAUAUACUAAAUCUAGUGUACCUUAUACACCAAACUUUGUGUCAAGUCAGUAACUCACCAUUUAUGUCAAAGGUGACACAAAAGAAUCGGACAUGAUAGUUCUAUGAUUU